GAUGUGUUUUGCUCUACAAAUAGCACCCUCAUACUCCACUCAUUGUCCAGACACAGACAGAGCCUGGGCAGGGAAAAGUCCUUCAGAAGGAAGCACAAGGAGCUUUUCUGAUGAGCUUGGAGGACCUUAAAGCUCCUUGGGUGUCUGCUUGCUGUGGCUUGGCCACCAUCUAUGAAUCCUUUACUAGACUGCCAGGGGAGAGGUGAAGAGGGAAAUUAUCAUUUGGUCUGAUCACAAAAGCUGUUGGGGCUCCUAUGAUCAUCCUCUGUGUCCUGAGGCUCUGUCUCCCUCCUGGAUGUGUUCCCAGCUGCUGUUGUCUGGACCCAACACUUCAGGCAUGGCUCUUGACCAUUAAUACCAGUGUCUUUGGCAUAACAGGGACCAGCAAACAACUUGUGACCCAAAAGAGAAACAGCAGCAGUAGCAGCUGGGCUCUUCUCCAGAGCUCCUGAUAAUGGCCAGCAUCAUUCCAGCCACCAGCACAAGGCAAAAACUUGCACACACAGAACACCCUCCUGCCCGUGGCAGCCAGAGCACCCUUCAGACAUCCACCUCACCUGCUGACACAAUCCUUCAGCACCCACCAAAAUCAAAUGCAGCUAAUUGAAAGGUGAUGACGGCCAGAGGAUUCCUGGAUUUGCAUGCUAAUUCCUCUAUUUUAGCAUCACAGAGCCCAAGUACAGCAGGUUCUGUGUUCAACACCUUCCUGAGAAAAGAGGAUUUCUGCAUGGAAGGAGAAUGAGUACUCAGACACACACCUCAAUUCUUCAGCAUCAGGCGCUUCUGGGCACAUUAGCCUAGAUUUAGACCUCGAUUUAUCCCAAGGAGUAGAUGCCAGGAAAUUCUUUCUGGAACCUCCUGAUAUUUGUGGCUUUUCAGAGCUAAGGAGAAGUGAAGUUUAAAGUGCUGACAGCAUUGCCUCACCAUCCAUCUCAGGCACAACCCCUUCAAGUUUCCUACCUAUAUCAGCCAAAUAGAGUGAUUCAAAUCAAGGUUUUGGCUGGAAAAUCCCAGAAAUGCAAAUUAUCUCAGCUUUCUGCUUCUUCCAGUGUGUCUUUAUGGGUCCAAAUCAGUCUUAACCCUGCAGAAAUACAGACAUUUCCGUGUGAUUCCACAUGCAGGACUGGUCAGUAUAAAGCAAAUAAGUGACACUCGUGGAUGUUGGAUCAUGUGUCAUCUUGUUGGAUGUGCCUCCAGAUUUGAUGAGAAUGUCACCAUGAAUGUCCAUUGGCAAACUGGAUAAGAAAGAGUGUCACAGUGCAGGACAACCUAGAAGAUGACAGGUAUUUCCAGGCAUAGCAAUGAUGAGAUCAAAUUCCCCUCAACCUGCCUUGUUUGCUGAUCUUUUAAUCAGAUUCAACUUCACUGCAGCUACAGCACAAGGUUCCCUGACAAUGUAUGACAGCAUGUGACAGAAAAAUAUUUUGAUUUUUUUUUCUUUUUUGGUCAUUUGAUGCUAUUUGAGAUAAAUCUGAAGCCCCAGCAGCAGCUGAUAAAUCUACCAAACUACUUUAGCAGAGGUUUUUACCUAUUCACAAUUGAACUGGAGGGUCUGGGGUGUGUGUUCGUGUGUUUGUAGUGGAAUCCAAACAAGAAAGCUGGGAAAUGAUCUAAACCCUUUGAGGUUAACCUGCCAUGAAAAAGCAUCAAUGACAGAAGAGGACAUUAUUAAAAAGGAGCAAACCUUGCUCAAAAAGAACCACUUUAUGAAGCCAGAGCCCAAAGAACAACACCCAGGGCUGUUUGUGGUCCCACAGGGAUGUGCAUUUCACCCCCCAUCUUCAUCUCUCCAAAUUUCCUCUGAACAGCUUCUGAGCUGAAUUCUUGAGAAAGAAAAACACCAGCAAAUUUUGAAUGGACUUAUCAGCCUUUUCCCUACAAUCUGCUUCAUAUUCCUCUCACACCCAUAUUCUUGCAGUGUCUUGGAUCACAGAUAAGAGAGAACAAGGAAAGGAAUGAAGCAAGAAGCAAACAACAAAACAAAACCAGCACCCCCCAAACUUUUUGAUGA
Molecule: non-coding RNA, 2011 nt
Organism: Lonchura striata (white-rumped munia)
Lineage: Eukaryota; Metazoa; Chordata; Aves; Passeriformes; Estrildidae
Source: RefSeq, a predicted model, not a curated record